Molecule: transfer RNA, 67 nt
Filed under: Puntius titteya (cherry barb)
Lineage: Eukaryota; Metazoa; Chordata; Actinopteri; Cypriniformes; Cyprinidae
Description: tRNA-Cys
Rfam family: tRNA
About the family: Transfer RNA (tRNA) molecules are approximately 80 nucleotides in length. Their secondary structure includes four short double-helical elements and three loops (D, anti-codon, and T loops).
Source: RNAcentral
GACCUUGUGGUGUAUAACAUGUUGGAUUGCAAAUCCAAAGACGUAAAUUAAUAUUUUACCGGGGUCU